This 272-nucleotide unclassified non-coding RNA is filed under the name plant metagenome. RNAcentral's name for it is "partial contains small subunit ribosomal RNA, internal transcribed spacer 1, and 5.8S ribosomal RNA". The record is from RNAcentral.
UUUCCGUAGGUGAACCUGCGGAAGGAUCAUUAAUGAGUUGUCAUGGGGUUCGCUGCUGGCAGCCAGUUUUUGGAUGCAUGUGCUUGCCCUAACAAUCAUCUUCUUCCAAACACCUGUGCACAUUUUUGAGGGAGUCUUGAGUUGGUUGCCGCUCUUGGGUGAUUUUCUCACAUUCCCUUAAAUCAUUAUACGCUAUUAACAAUGUUGAACGUGCUCUGUGCCGCAAGGCCAUUAAUAUAAUACAACUUUUAACAACGGAUCUCUUGGCUCUC